Molecule: transfer RNA, 71 nt
Filed under: Dreissena polymorpha
Lineage: Eukaryota; Metazoa; Mollusca; Bivalvia; Myida; Dreissenidae
Description: tRNA-Thr
Source: RNAcentral
GACCCGCUUAGCUCAGUCGGUAGAGCACAAGACUGGUGAUCUCGAGGCUGGAGGUUUUAUCCCCAGGGUCG